Molecule: long non-coding RNA, 215 nt
Filed under: Helianthus annuus (common sunflower)
Lineage: Eukaryota; Viridiplantae; Streptophyta; Magnoliopsida; Asterales; Asteraceae
Description: sRNA HanXRQr2_Chr17g0818881
Source: RNAcentral
AUGUCUUAUUAUCUAAAUUAUUCUAUAAAUUCCCAAAUAAUUAAUCAAAUCCUCAAAUUAAUAGGGCUGAGGAUUCAAGAAAAACAAGAAAAGACUAGGAUGGCUUAGAAACCCAUCAACUAUUUAAAUUUCCAAAUCUAUGUUAUGUAUUUGAACUUUUCUAUGUAUCGUAUGAAACUUAUGAUUAUCAAUGAAAUAAACUUUAAUUAUUGUCA